Molecule: long non-coding RNA, 837 nt
Organism: Mauremys reevesii (Reeves's turtle)
Lineage: Eukaryota; Metazoa; Chordata; Testudines; Geoemydidae
Exons: 5
Source: RefSeq, a predicted model, not a curated record
ACACCGCUCCCGUGAACGCUCCGCCCUCCUUCUCCUCCCCUUCCCCGGCUUCGCGCAAAUCAAAUGUUCGUGGGAAGCCUGAAAAAAGGAGCGGGCAGGUCUGUAGGCCUCAACACAGACGGCUUUGGUGAAUGAGCAACACACCUGUGCACUCAUUUUCAAGCAUUAGCACCUGCGUUGGCACAUGCGAAGCAGUGUGGGCUAUCGGACAGGGCACAGGAAUUAAGCUGGCCUCAGAGAGACGGAUUCAUUUUCAAUUUGGUGAACUGAGAGGAUCAGGCCGCAUGGAUUCAAUCCAAGGAGAGAACUGGGUCCUUAAAGUGCAACAUUAACCAGGAUAUCUGAGGAGAUCUGCAGGGCAGGGACCCUGUGUUUUGUACUACACCAAGCACACCACUCUAUACUCUAUCUUCAAAUCACAUGGUGGAGAAGUCAAUCAAAAUCACAUCCCUCUGGGCUCUUACUCUGUCUGCAUAAAUCGCAGCCGUUUGCAACUCAGAAAAAAGUCAAUUCCUCUCAAAGGAGCUGUUGCCUUGGAGAUAAAAGGAAGAGACACUUAUUGUGAUAAUGCUCUGUUACGUCUAUUGUACCAAAUCCUCAGCAUAGACAAUUGUUCUGUUUCUGUCUAAGCGAUCUAUUGGGGCAGCAGAGUGACAGUUGCUGAAUGUACCAUUGCUUACCUGCGGCUUUAUCAUCAUCUUAGUGCCCUUUAUACAAGAUUCCUGACUCAGGAAAUCAAUGGGAGUGGAUGGUGUUCAGCACCUCAAAAGAAAUAUAUCCUUUGACACAGAUCUGUUCUAUGCUUGUCAGAGACCAGUUUAUCCAUAAAGGUAUGGG